This 447-nucleotide ribosomal RNA is filed under the name uncultured bacterium. Its description in RNAcentral is "bacterial SSU rRNA". It matches the Rfam family "Bacterial small subunit ribosomal RNA", at positions 329 to 793 of the family's 1533-position model. The record is from RNAcentral.
GGCCAGACUCCUACGGGAGGCAGCAGUGGGGGAUAUUGCACAAUGGGGGGAACCCUGAUGCAGCGACGCCGCGUGGGUGAAGAAGCGCCUCGGCGCGUAAAGCCCUGUCAGCAGGGAAGAAAAUGACGGUACCUGAAGAAGAAGCCCCGGCUAACUACGUGCCAGCAGCCGCGGUAAUACGUAGGGGGCAAGCGUUAUCCGGAUUUACUGGGUGUAAAGGGGGCGCAGACGGCGGUGCAAGCCAGGAGUGAAAGCCCGGGGCCCAACCCCGGGACUGCUCUUGGAACUGCGUGGCUGGAGUGCAGGAGGGGCAGGCGGAAUUCCUGGUGUAGCGGUGAAAUGCGUAGAUAUUAGGAGGAACACCAGUGGCGAAGGCGGCUUACUGGACUGUACCUGACGCUGAGGCGCGAAAGCGUGGGUAGCGAACGGGAUUAGAUACCCCAGUAC